RNAcentral lists this ribosomal RNA (481 nucleotides) under uncultured bacterium. RNAcentral describes it as "partial 16S ribosomal RNA". It matches the Rfam family "Bacterial small subunit ribosomal RNA", at positions 28 to 507 of the family's 1533-position model. The record is from RNAcentral.
GACGAACGCUGGCGGCGUGCUUAACACAUGCAAGUCGAACGAAGCACUCUAUUUGAUUUCCUUCGGGACUGAUUAUUUUGUGACUGAGUGGCGGACGGGUGAGUAACGCGCGGGUAACCUGCCUUGUACAGGGGGAUAACAGUUGGAAACGGCUGCUAAUACCGCAUAAGCGCACGGCAUCGCAUGAUGCAGUGUGAAAAACUCCGGUGGUAUAAGAUGGACCCGCGUUGGAUUAGCUAGUUGGUGAGGUAACGGCCCACCAAGGCGACGAUCCAUAGCCGGCCUGAGAGGGUGACCAGCCACACUGGGACUGAGACACGGCCCAGACUCCUACGGGAGGCAGCAGUGGGGAAUAUUGCACAAUGGGCGAAAGCCUGAUGCAGCGACGCCGCGUGAGCGAAGAAGUAUUUCGGUAUGUAAAGCUCUAUCAGCAGGGAAGAUAAUGACGGUACCUGACGAAGAAGCACCGGCUAAAUACGUG